GCUUGGCCUUUCGGCGUCGGCUUCCUCUUCGCGACAUGAACAAUCCUCUGCUCGACGGCGAGAGCAGCGACGCGCGGCGGAGAGAUCGUUUCGUUCGCCGCUCCGACGCCCUCGCUUAUGGCUCUCGUUACCAGAAGGCAGCCGCUCUGGUCGAUCUGGCUGCAGAUGGUGUUGGUCUUCCAGUUCAAAUUCUCGACCAGGCAAAUUUUGAAAGUGCUGACAAACUCUACUUCCUCUUCACGAAAUUUGACAUCCUCUGGUCCCUUAAUUAUUUUGCAUUGAUAGUACUGAACUUCUUUGAGAAACCUCUGUGGUGCGCCGAAUACUCUGCAGAUGCUUGCAGUGAGAGGGAAUACUUUUUCCUGGGACAGUUACCAUACUUAACAGGCAUACAAUCUCUCAUGUAUGAGAGCGUAACUCUUGUUAUACUCAUGAUACAUACAUUCUUUCCCAUUUCAUAUGAAGGGUUUCGCAUCUAUUCAAGGAAUCCUCUUAACCAAAUAAAGGUUGUUUGCCUACUGCUUUUGGUCGCUGAUUUACUGGCAUAUGCCCUCUACUUAUCCCCUGUGGUGGCCCUUGAUUAUCUUCCUUUUAGAGCUGCACCUUAUAUUAGAGUUGUAUUUUUCAUUAUGAACAUACGGGAACUACGAGGGACAAUCUUCAUUCUGGCAGGCAUGAUUGGGACUUACUUAAAUGUCUUGGCUCUGUUGCUUCUGUUUCUAUUGUUUUCCAGUUGGGUGGCAUAUGUCAUGUUUGAAGAUACCGAACAGGGAAAGACUGAAUUUACCUCAUAUGGUGCUACCUUAUAUAAGAUGCUUGUUUUAUUCACCACAUCCAAUAACCCAGAUGUAUGGAUACCAGCAUAUAAAGUUUCACGUUGGUACUCCCUUUUCUUUGUCCUCUAUAUCCUGCUGGGGGUUUACUUUGUCACGAAUUUGGUCCUUGCUGUUGUGUAUGACAGCUUCAAGACUCAGCUCGUGAAACAAGUUUCUGAGAUGGACCGAAUGAGGGAAAUCAUGUUACAAAAAGCCUUUAAGCUCAUAGACAAGAAUAACGUCGGGUACAUCAAUAAAGAGCAGUGCAUACACCUGUUUGAAGAACUGAAUAACUACAGGACACUGUCAAAUAUAUCAAGAGAAGAUUUUGAGUUAAUAUUUGAUGAGCUGGAUGAUCGUCGUGACUUCAAGAUCACCAUGGAGGAAUUUUCUGAUCUUUGCAAUGCAAUUGCCCUCAGAUUUCAGAAGGAGGAUGCUCCUUCUCUGUUCGAGAAAUUUCCAUCAAUCUACCAUUCUCCAUUUUCUGAGAAGUUGAAGGGUUUUGUGAAAAGUCCAAAAUUUGGAUAUGUCAUAUCGUUUGUUCUCAUUCUGAAUCUGAUUGCGGUGAUUGUUGAGACAACGCUGGAUAUUGAAAACAACUCUGGCCAAAAAGUGUGGCAAGCGGUAGAGUUUGUCUUUGGUUGGAUCUAUGUGCUUGAGAUGGCUUUGAAAGUUUAUUCAUUCGGGUUCGAAAACUAUUGGAGGGAUGGUCAAAACCGCUUUGAUUUUCUGAUCACCUGGGUGAUAGUCAUUGGAGAAACUAUGACGUUUGUAGCUCCUAAUGGACUUGACUUUCUUUCAAAUGGAGAAUGGAUUCGCUACCUUCUUCUUGCUAGAUUGCUGAGAUUGAUAAGGCUGCUAAUGCAUGUUAAACGCUACCGGGCUUUUGUUGCUACAUUCUUGAAUCUUAUACCAAGUUUGAUGCCAUACCUUGGAAUCAUCUUUUGUGUACUGUGCAUUUAUUGCUCUCUUGGAGAACAGAUCUUCGGUGGCAUGGUCAAUGCUGGGAACUCCAAAUUGGAAGAAACUGAUCUUGUGGCUGAUAACUAUUUGCUUUUCAAUUUUAACGACUAUCCGAAUGGAAUGGUGACACUUUUCAAUUUGUUAGUCAUGAACAACUGGCAAGACUGGAUGCAGAGCUACAAGGAAUUAACAGGGACAUCUUGGACCCUCCUAUAUUUCAUCAGCUUUUACUUAAUCACUGUUCUACUGCUCUUGAAUUUGGUUGUCGCCUUUGUCUUGGAAGCAUUCUUUACUGAAAUGGAUCUUGAAUCGUCAGAAAACGGCGAGGGACAGGACAAGGAAACAAGGGGCAGGCGACCUCGUUCGGUCGGCUCGAAGACAAGAAGUCAGAGAGUUGAUGUCCUGCUUCAUCAUAUGUUGAGCUCUGAGCUUGACAAAGCAAAAUGCACUAGUCCUCAACCUUAAUCAUGUAACAUUGAGACUAGAAAGAUGUAUUUCAUCUCCCUGAAGUGCCUUCAGCUGGACGGCAGCAAAAUCUUGAGUGCUUUAGUUGUUUCAUGGUUGCAUGUACGAGUUGUCAAUGGUUUCUUUGCGUGAUUUUGAAGACCCUGAUUCGAGAUUAACUGGUCACAGCAGACAGCGUUACAUGGACCAUUUUGCAGAUAAACUGGUUCGAACCAUAUGUAUAUCGUUCUUUUUGGCACGAUUGCUUUUCCCCGUUUGUGUUGCUGAGUAAAUAUUGUACAGACGCGAAUUUCAACCCUAUGGUUUGAAACGCGAGUUGUCGACUUCUGAUGGAAUGAUUAGAUUUUUUGCGCAUUA
Rhodamnia argentea is the source of this 2600-nucleotide RNA transcript. It is a transcript of the gene named two pore calcium channel protein 1, with no coding region annotated. Lineage: Eukaryota; Viridiplantae; Streptophyta; Magnoliopsida; Myrtales; Myrtaceae. The transcript has 25 exons. The record is from RefSeq and is a predicted model, not a curated record.